AACUCAUAGAUAGCAAAGCUUCUAAAGGGUUGUAUUACAUCGAGUAUACUCUGCAAAAUCCCGGUGAAAGUCUCAGACAUCUAUUUUCAGUGCUUGGGAUAGCAGACAAUGGGAUUUACAACAGACUGUAUACUCUCACUGGAUAGUUUGUAGACGAGGAGGCAGAGAAAUAUGGUGCUAAAAUACAGAAGG
This is a long non-coding RNA of Solanum tuberosum (potato), 192 nucleotides long. RefSeq lists it as uncharacterized. The transcript has 3 exons. Lineage: Eukaryota; Viridiplantae; Streptophyta; Magnoliopsida; Solanales; Solanaceae. The record is from RefSeq and is a predicted model, not a curated record.